UACGGAGGGUGCAAGCGUUAAUCGGAAUUACUGGGCGUAAAGCGCACGCAGGCGGUCUGUCAAGUCGGAUGUGAAAUCCCCGGGCUCAACCUGGGAACUGCAUUCGAAACUGGCAGGCUAGAGUCUUGUAGAGGGGGGUAGAAUUCCAGGUGUAGCGGUGAAAUGCGUAGAGAUCUGGAGGAAUACCGGUGGCGAAGGCGGCCCCCUGGACAAAGACUGACGCUCAGGUGCGAAAGCGCGGGGAGCAAACAGGAUUAGAUACCCUGGUAGUCCACGCCGUAAACGAUGUCGAUUUGGAGGUUGUGCACUUGAGGCGUGGGUUCCGGAGCUAACGCGUUAAAUCGACCGCCUGGGGAGUACGGCCGCAAGGUUAAA
Molecule: ribosomal RNA, 375 nt
Filed under: uncultured bacterium
Lineage: Bacteria
Description: bacterial SSU rRNA
Rfam family: Bacterial small subunit ribosomal RNA
Source: RNAcentral